GUGGAAGCAAUCGCACUUUGCGGGCAAGCUCUGAGCCUGCUCCUUCUUGGUUGCUCUGUCUUUGAAGGCAGCUUUGGAGCCUGCUGAAGGAUUUGCUGACAUUUUGGCUGUUUCAUUGCCAGAGGAGGCUUUGUGUGUCCCAAAGGAAGUGAGUGAUCUGGCCAUAACAAAUCCUGCCAAAAUAUUUUAACACCGUUACGAUUUCCUAAUGCAAUGCGUAGUGAAUGUGACUAGGAAAGGAUGGUGAGUCCGUGACGGGGAUUUGUUCCCUCUCGCGUGCAGUUGCCCGGYAGAACGAGCACCGAUGAGCCCUGG
This 315-nucleotide long non-coding RNA is filed under the name Dromaius novaehollandiae (emu). Its description in RNAcentral is "lncRNA (ENSDNVG00000002332.1)". Lineage: Eukaryota; Metazoa; Chordata; Aves; Casuariiformes; Dromaiidae. The record is from RNAcentral.